GAAAGAGAGGAAAGAAGAAGAAGAGGGAAAGAGAGGAAAAAAAAAAUCAAGAAAUACCUUGUUGUGGUCUUAAGUCUUCUUCAAUGUUGUUGCUGGCGUCAUGAGAGAGAAUAAGUUAGGGCUUUUAACUAUUGUUAUUUGAAAACAAUAUAUUAAAAAAAAAUAAAAAAAUUUUCAUUAUUUCUCAAAGGCUUCGCCUUUAAUGCCUCACGGCUCUCACCUUGGAGCCUUGGGUGCUUGCCUUUGGGAAGUCUGCUCACCUCAGCUAGGCAAGGCGUCAAGGGGUCACCUCACCUUGCCUCCCCCGGUGCCUUUUCUCGCCUUUAUUAACACUGGUUGGAUUGAACACUAUUCACAGUAAAAAUGUGACAGUUUGACAAUGCACUAACACCUUACGUGCAAAUCAUACUGCUAAGUAUUGUGCAUUUGUAGAAAACUCUAGGUACAACACUAAACAAGCAGUCAAGCUUGUAAAACUUGCUUCACACAUUAAACUCCACACAAUAAUCUAUUGAUUUGAACUAGGGUCUACCUAGUGAUGCUUUGCCCACUUGUUUUAUCAACCAUCUUUGGUCUGUGUUGCAUGUUUGUUAUUUUUAGGAAAAAAUUAUAAAGAAGAGGGAAGAAUUGUAGAAAGUUUAAUUUGAGCAGAGGAUCUCACUCCCAACCAUGAGAUUCUCAUUGUUGCCUGUGAAAUUGAAAAAGCAAGCAUGGCUUCUUGUGGGAUGGAAGAAGAGCGCAUGGCCAGCCAUGAGAUUGCUUCCUACAUGCAUGGCUGGCAAUGAGAUGGUACCCAAUUGGCUUGUGACACCUCACUAAGUGAAGGGGAAGAGUCAAAAUUAGAGUUAGUUGGAGAUUUUCUGAAUGGGAAGCAGAAGAGACGUUCGGGGAGGCUCCUAAACACAAAAAAAUAUACACCAAUUUUUGCUAAAGCAAGGAAUUUGAAAGGGGGAUUUUGGAAGCUUGAAGGAGGAAGACAUCAAUCUCCAUCCUAGAGAGUUUUUAUUUUCUUCUCUUUUAAUUACUUUUGGAGAUGAUGACAAGAUCAACAAAGAAGAAUCCACCUGAGAGGUGGGGUGGAUUCUCAACAGAGUGAAGGAAUGCCUACAUUUGGCAUUGCUAUUUACAUGUGAUUGUUAUGUUGUGGACUGGUUCAGGGUGCUCUCAAGCGGAUGUUACUUAAACUUGCGAUUACUUUUGUCUUUUUCAACAGCUAGGGUGUCAAGCUCACAGCCUAUGUAGUGUAGAACAUAUAACUGAGUAGAUUAUCUUUUUUUUUUUGUUGAACUGUUAUGUAGCUAAUCUGGAAAAUUUUUUUGCCACUGGAUUGUUUUGGUUAUUUCAUGUUUUAUUAUUUUUUUAUUGUUUAUUGCCUGAUUGUGUUGAUAUCAUAUGGAUGUAAAACACCACAGGUGGCUUGAGAAUAUACGUGAUUGGUGCAUAUCAAGGCAGCUUUGGUGGGGUCACCGCAUUCCUGCAUGGUAUAUUACGCUUGAUGACGAUGAAUUGAAGGAACUUGGCGUCUACAAUGACCAUUGGGUGGUUGCUAGAGAUGAGAAAGAGGCUUUAGCAGAGGCUAGUGUGAAAUUUCCUGGAAAGAAAUUUGAGAUGAGUCAAGAUCCUGAUGUUCUCGACACUUGGUUUUCUUCUGGUCUAUUUCCAUUGUCUGUAUUGGGUUGGCCAGAUGAUACUGAUGAUUUGAAAGCAUUUUACCCAACUUCUGUACUUGAAACUGGGCAUGACAUUCUAUUUUUCUGGGUUGCUCGGAUGGUAAUGUUAGGAAUUAAACUGGGAGGUGAUGUUCCAUUUAGGAAGGUUUAUUUGCAUCCAAUGAUUCGUGAUGCUCAUGGCCGUAAGAUGUCAAAGUCUUUGGGAAAUGUUAUUGACCCUCUUGAAGUAAUAAAUGGGAUAACACUUGAAGGCCUUCACAAAAGACUAGAGGAGGGUAAUUUGGAUCAAAGUGAGCUGGUUAUUGCAAAAGCUGGACAGAAGAAAGACUUUCCCAAUGGUAUCUCUCAAUGUGGUGCAGAUGCUCUCCGAUUCGCUCUUGUAUCUUACACUGCUCAGUCUGAUAAAAUAAAUUUGGACAUUCAACGAGUAGUUGGAUAUCGUCAAUGGUGUAACAAAUUGUGGAAUGCUGUUCGAUUUGCUAUGAGCAAACUGGAAAUUGAUUAUGCCCCUCCAUCGACUUUACUUGUGGAAACUAUGCCUUUUAGCUGCAAAUGGAUACUCUCGGCACUUAACAAAGCCAUAUCCAAAACUGUUUCAGCAAUGGAUUCAUAUGAGUUUUCAGAUGCUGCCAGCACAGUCUAUUCCUGGUGGCAAUAUCAGUUUUGUGAUGUUUUCAUUGAAUCAAUCAAGCCUUACUUUACUGGUGAUGAUCCAUCAUUUGCCUCUGCAAAGAAUUCUGCAAAAGAUUGUCUUUGGGUGUGUUUGGACAAUGGCCUGCGAUUGCUUCAUCCAUUUAUGCCAUUUAUUACUGAGGAAUUGUGGCAACGCCUUCCUUCAGCUGGGGAACAUACCAGAAAAGAGUCGAUUAUGAUAUCUGAAUAUCCAUCAACCGUAGAAGCCUGGACAAAUGAGAGGGUGGAAUAUGAAAUGGACCUUGUUGAGUCCACUGUGAAGAGUAUAAGAUCUCUGAGGGCUGAGGUGCUUGGUAACCCAAGAAAUGAAAGACUACCAGCUUUUGCAUUUUGCCAAAGUGAUGCAGUAGCAGAAAUUAUUGCUAGCCAUGAAUUGGAGAUUUUAACUCUUGCAACUUUGUCAUCCAUCAAGGUAUUAUUGAGUGGGAAAGAUGCUCCUCCAGCUGAAUGUGCAUUUGAGAAUGUCAAUGAGAAUCUUGUUGUCUAUCUCAAGGUUCAAGGAAAAGUUGAUGCAGGAGGAGAGCUUGAAAAGAUCAGAAAUAAAAUGGAUGAUGCACAAAAGCAAUGGGAUAAGUUGGAUAAGAUGGUUAAUGCAGCUGGCUAUAAAGAAAAAGUACCAUCUCAUAUUCAGGAGGAGAACGCUGAAAAGCUGGCCAAGCUACUUAAAGAGAUGGAAUUCUUUGAAAAAGAGAGCUCCCGGCUUGAAGCUAUGAUUGGAACUGAGGGUAAAUUAAAUUAAAGCUUCAAAUCGUAUCGACAGGCGAAGAAAGCGAAGAGGAAAGCUGAAGGGGGCGAAAGGGCGCUGGUUGUUUCGAGGAACAAUAAUACCCAUUCAUUUUUGUUGUUCCUUGUUUGAGCGAGUAUGGCUGCUAGAAUAAUUCAAUUUAAUUUCGAAAGUUAUAAUUUGGAUGAAAAAUAAGAAAAAUUUUAUCAGAUCUACCUAAUUUAAGGGUCAAUCUUUUUGCCUCCCUCAGAGAGUUGCUGUAGAGGACACAAAAGAUUGGAGUUGGUAUAUGAUCAAAAGAUAUUCAAAGUUUGAUAUGUAAUAUAAUGUGGCUUGUUUUACAGGCGAAGACAUAAUUUACAAACUAAUUGUGAUAUGCAUUUUAUAUUUACUAGACAAAUGCAUAUUUAAGGUUUUAUAUAAACUAUAUUGUAGACGUAGUUAUUUAGAGGCAAAUUAUUAGUUAAUGUUCAUUCGCAAAGUAGUGGGUAUGGUUUUCGUAAUUUCAUGGUAUAAUUGUAUUUUUGAGUA
Molecule: unclassified non-coding RNA, 3618 nt
Filed under: Hevea brasiliensis (rubber tree)
Lineage: Eukaryota; Viridiplantae; Streptophyta; Magnoliopsida; Malpighiales; Euphorbiaceae
Source: RNAcentral